This 547-nucleotide long non-coding RNA is filed under the name Brassica rapa (field mustard). Its description in RNAcentral is "long non-coding RNA (BRAP_LNC007485)". The record is from RNAcentral. Lineage: Eukaryota; Viridiplantae; Streptophyta; Magnoliopsida; Brassicales; Brassicaceae.
UGAUGAAUAAUGUUAUACCAAAUUUGAUAAAGCACUAUUCACACUAUACCAAAUUUGGUGGAAUGAUGUCAAAUUUGGUAUUUUGUUAGAGAUAAAAUUAUAUUAAAUUUAGUGUUUUGGUGUUUUGCUGGUGGCCUUGUAGUAAUGAUAACAACCGACGUACAUGUUUUGGAUUGCAGUUUUUUUUUUUUUGUUAUUUUUAUAGUCUAUCUGGUAUUCUCAUCCUUGUUUUAGAUAGAUGUUAAGGGGGCAAAAGACUCUUGAAAACGAUGAUGAGACUGAUUGAUUUUACGGAAAAGAAAUCGAGAGAAUAAAACGAGCACAAGUACUCACGUCGAAUAAACUAUUUGACGUAAGUUAUACAUAACGAGCGAAAGAGAGAUCCACGUCCUGCGGUGACGGACAACACACCGCACGAUUUGUCAGUGAUUGGUCGCUUAUUUGCUAGUGAUUAUUUGGGAGACUGCAUAAAUAGAUUAGAUAUACGUCAUACAUCAUUGACUCUGAUGUUUUUCAGACAUAAAAUAAAACCAGCGCAUUUGAUUAC